RNAcentral lists this ribosomal RNA (754 nucleotides) under uncultured bacterium. RNAcentral describes it as "bacterial SSU rRNA". It matches the Rfam family "Bacterial small subunit ribosomal RNA", at positions 87 to 841 of the family's 1533-position model. The record is from RNAcentral.
GCUGACGAGUGGCGCACGGGUGCGUAACGCGUAUACAAUCUACCUUUUGCUGAGGGAUAGCCCAGAGAAAUUUGGAUUAAUACCUCAUGGUAUUAUUGAUAGGCAUCUAUUAAUAAUUAAAGGUUACGGCAAAAGAUGAGUAUGCGUCCCAUUAGCUAGUUGGCGAGGUAACGGCUCACCAAGGCAACGAUGGGUAGGGGUCCUGAGAGGGAGAUCCCCCACACUGGUACUGAGACACGGACCAGACUCCUACGGGAGGCAGCAGUGAGGAAUAUUGGACAAUGGGCGAGAGCCUGAUCCAGCCAUGCCGCGUGCAGGAAGACUGCCCUAUGGGUUGUAAACUGCUUUUAUACAGGAAGAAUAAGCCUUACGUGUAAGGUGAUGACGGUACUGUAAGAAUAAGGACCGGCUAACUCCGUGCCAGCAGCCGCGGUAAUACGGAGGGUCCGAGCGUUAUCCGGAAUUAUUGGGUUUAAAGGGUCCGUAGGCGGAUGAUUAAGUCAGGGGUGAAAGUUUGCAGCUCAACUGUAAAAUUGCCUUUGAUACUGGUUAUCUUGAGUUGUAUUGAAGUAGGCGGAAUAUGUAGUGUAGCGGUGAAAUGCAUAGAUAUUACAUAGAACACCAAUUGCGAAGGCAGCUUACUAAGUACUAACUGACGCUGAUGGACGAAAGCGUGGGUAGCGAACAGGAUUAGAUACCCUGGUAGUCCACGCCGUAAACGAUGGAUACUAGCUGUUCGGGGCCUUGAGCUCUG